UUCCGGUUGAUCCUGCCGGACCCGACUGCUAUUUGGGUGAGGAUAAGCCAUGCGAGUUGAAUGGGAAACCUAAAGUUCCCAUGGCAAACUGCUCAGUAACACAUGAUCAACUUACCCUAUAGAGAAAAAUAACCUCGGGAAACUGGGGAUAAUGUUUCAUAGUUGAAUUGGCUUGGAAAAGUUUUUCGACGAAAGGGGUAAAAAAAAUGGUUUUUAUCUGCUAUAGGAUAGGAUCGUGUUCGAUUAUGGUUGUUGGUGAGGUAAUGGCUCACCAAGCCGAUAAUCGAUAGGGGCCGUGAGAGCGGGAGCCCCGAGAUGGGUACUGAGACAACGACCCAGGCCUUACGAGGCGCAGCAGGCGCGAAACCUCCGCAAUACACGAAAGUGUGACGGGGUUACCCAAAGUGUUCAAUUUUGAACUGUGGUAGGUGAGUAAUGUUCCCUACUAGAAAGGAGAGGGCAAGGCUGGUGCCAGCCGCCGCGGUAAAACCAGCUCUUCAAGUGGUCGGGAUAGUUAUUGGGCUUAAAGUGUCCGUAGCCGGUUUGGUAAGUUCCUGGUAAAAUCGGGUAGCUUAACUAUCUAUAUGCUAGGAAUACUACUAUACUAGAGGGCGGGAGAGGUCUGAGGUACUACAGGGGUAGGGGUGAAAUCUUAUAAUCCUUGUUGGACCACCAGUGGCGAAGGCGUCAGACUGGAACGCGCCUGACGGUGAGGGACGAAAGCCAGGGGAGCGAACCGGAUUAGAUACCCGGGUAGUCCUGGCCGUAAACGAUGCAUACUAGGUGAUGGCACGGCCAUGAGCCGUGUCAGUGCCGUAGGGAAACCGUUAAGUGUGCCGCCUGGGAAGUACGGUCGCAAGGCUAAAACUUAAAGGAAUUGGCGGGGGAGCACCACAAGGGGUGAAGCCUGCGGUUCAAUUGGAUUCAACGCCGGAAAUCACUAGUGCGGC
RNAcentral lists this ribosomal RNA (950 nucleotides) under uncultured archaeon. RNAcentral's name for it is "bacterial SSU rRNA". It matches the Rfam family "Archaeal small subunit ribosomal RNA", at positions 1 to 937 of the family's 1478-position model. The record is from RNAcentral.